UGUAUGGUAGUGUAAUGGCAACACGACGGUCUCCAAAACCGCAGAUAAGAGUUCAAUUCCCUUCCGAUCUG
RNAcentral lists this transfer RNA (71 nucleotides) under Seinonella peptonophila. It matches the Rfam family "tRNA". Rfam says of the family: Transfer RNA (tRNA) molecules are approximately 80 nucleotides in length. Their secondary structure includes four short double-helical elements and three loops (D, anti-codon, and T loops). Lineage: Bacteria; Bacillati; Bacillota; Bacilli; Caryophanales; Thermoactinomycetaceae. The record is from Rfam by way of RNAcentral.